Molecule: long non-coding RNA, 2080 nt
Organism: Triticum dicoccoides
Lineage: Eukaryota; Viridiplantae; Streptophyta; Magnoliopsida; Poales; Poaceae
Exons: 5
Source: RefSeq, a predicted model, not a curated record
AGGAAUUCACGAAUCAGCUCGGCGCCCGCCGCGCGCUCCAUCGUGCAGAACGUGGGCGAAAAGUGAAAACCAAGCCGCCAAUCCAUCCCCCUCUCCCUCUCGUCCCGACCCCUGCCUCGCGCAGCCGCCUCGUCUCUCCUCCCCUCUCCCUCGUGUUCUCUCCCACGCCGCUGGCCCUCUCUCUCGCCUCAGCCGCCUCCUCUCCUCCCCUGCGCCGUCGGCUCCCUCAUCCUGCUUCUUCCUCCUUUCCGUCGGCGGCAGUGGUAACUGGUGAGCAUGGGAGCAGCGGCUGCGGCUGGACGCCGUGAGCUCGGGAGCAGCUUGUUGAGAUGGUCCAAGACUCCAGCGCAGUUGGGAACGACCAAGGCAAGGAGGAUCAAGAUCUGGAUGGCACGCCUCACCCUCGGCUACCUCUUCCACCUCCCCGUCGACUGCCACUUAUCACGGAGGAGGAAGGGAUGGAGAGAUAUGGCGGCUGCGACUGGAGCUGGCGGAUGCCAGAUAGAGGUCCACCCUGUUCCCGGCCUCCCGCGUCCCGCCCCGGUACAGGGGCAACGGCAAGGUGAAGAUCGUCAUGCCCGGGAUUGGGCUCGGUGAUGAAGGGCAAGCGAGGUUCCUACCCAUGGGCUCCGGCAAGGCUCUCACUGAUGGAUUUGCAGUAUGCCUAAUCUUGGACGUGUGCAAACCAACAUAGUUGUGAAUGAGCUCUGCUAGAUUGUCUCAGCUCAUGCCAUGAGCUUUGGUAGUGUGUCACUGCAAUGCGUAAUGUCCAUUCCUUCUGCCUUUUUCCUUUCUGUACAUUUGGAGAAAAAUGCACACAUGUUAUUUCUGCAUUUGACAAUUCCAGUUAGGUGUAAAAACCUGGCUUUGUUUUGUUCCUUUUUGUUCUCUGUACAGUUUUUGCACUGACCAAUGAACUGUGAUGUCCAUGAAUGCUAUUAAGGCACUGUUGAACUCCGCCUUUUCCUAUCUGUACAUUUGGAGAAUAAUGCAUACAUGUUGUCACAGCAAUUUUUUGUUGGGGUUCACAUGUUGUCACUAUAUGUAUGAGACUGACAUAGUAAGUUUUCCCCUUUACAGGAAGAUUAAAAGUUAAGUUUUCUGACGGUGAGUUAUGUGUGGUUUGAGGGGUUGCAGCUUGCCUAACAGAGGUUCCCUAAAAACGAUGUUUCAGGAAAAGUAAGCAGUAUUCUCUUCGACCGUCCGAUUUGUGUUGAUCGUGCUGCAAGUUGAUGCCUGGGUUUACAACUGGUGGUUUUUCCAUUCCUUAAUCCUCAUGUCUUCUUGUGUGCGUGUGUGUCACAUGUGCUUACAUCUAGGUUUGAUGCGAAUUUUCUUUUUACAGGGUGCUAGCCACUGUAGUUCUGUUUGUUUGUUCGUAGGACACAUGUGACAAACGGUGACAUUGCGGUCUCUUUACCUUCAUAUUCUUAUCUUGGUUUUGUUUCUUUCUGCGUGUAUCUACGCCAUGGCUGAACAUUCUUUGCUCAUUGAUAUGUGUAUGCACGGGUUUGUUCUUCUUCUAGAGAAUUAAGUUGGUGACUUUUAUUAUUGUUAAUUGCUCAGAGUGAUUGUUCUCAAAGUAGUCUUGAACAAUUAAUCAUUUGCAGGUAUUUAUCUAACCAUUAGUGGCUUCAGUUUCCUGUCAUCUUUCUUUUGGAAAUGGGAGUUGUUGUUGCUUCCCAGCUGUCGAAAAAAGAGAAGACGAUAAGCGAGACUACUACAGCGAGAGAGACGGUGGCCAAUAUUGUGUUAGUUGCCUGCUUUAUGCAAAACUAAAACAAGUGAGACUGAAAUGCUUUGGCAUGUAUUGGCUAAAUUAGAACGUAGUAUGAGAUUGGCAUAUGCAGGAUAACACUACAAGUUGACACACAUAGCAUGUAUUGGCUAAAUUAGAACACAUGAGAUUAUCAUAUGCUUUCUCAAAAAAGAAGAAGAGAGAUUGACAUAUGCAGGAUAACACUGCAAGUUGGCACACCUAGGCAAUUGGUUAAUGUUUUUUUGUUUUGUCUCUUUGCAUAGUGCCCAGGUAGUGUUUGCACAGAUUAUUUGUUAAAUUGUUAUGAUGUCUCUUUCUUUA